UAGUGAUCCGGUGGUUCUGAAUGGAAGGGCCAUCGCUCAACGGAUAAAAGGUACUCCGGGGAUAACAGGCUGAUACCGCCCAAGAGUUCAUAUCGACGGCGGUGUUUGGCACCUCGAUGUCGGCUCAUCACAUCCUGGGGCUGAAGUAGGUCCCAAGGGUAUGGCUGUUCGCCAUUUAAAGUGGUACGCGAGCUGGGUUUAGAACGUCGUGAGACAGUUCGGUCCCUAUCUGCCGUGGGCGCUGGAGAAUUGAGGGGGGCUGCUCCUAGUACGAGAGGACCGGAGUGGACGCAUCACUGGUGUUCGGGUUGUCAUGCCAAUGGCACUGCCCGGUAGCUAAAUGCGGAAGAGAUAAGUGCUGAAAGCAUCUAAGCACGAAACUUGCCCCGAGAUGAGUUCUCCCUGAGACUUAGAGUCUCCUGAAGGAACGUUGAAGACGACGACGUUGAUAGGUCGGGUGUGUAAGUGUAGCGAUACAUUGAGCUAACC
Molecule: ribosomal RNA, 489 nt
Filed under: Citrobacter sp. S55_ASV_140
Lineage: Bacteria; Pseudomonadati; Pseudomonadota; Gammaproteobacteria; Enterobacterales; Enterobacteriaceae
Description: partial 23S ribosomal RNA
Rfam family: Bacterial large subunit ribosomal RNA
Source: RNAcentral